Molecule: ribosomal RNA, 162 nt
Filed under: Streptococcus suis
Lineage: Bacteria; Bacillati; Bacillota; Bacilli; Lactobacillales; Streptococcaceae
Description: partial 16S ribosomal RNA
Rfam family: Bacterial small subunit ribosomal RNA
Source: RNAcentral
UUGUACACACCGCCCGUCACACCACGAGAGUUUGUAACACCCGAAGUCGGUGAGGUAACCUUUUAGGAGCCAGCCGCCUAAGGUGGGAUAGAUGAUUGGGGCGAAGUCGUAACAAGGUAGCCGUAUCGGAAGGUGCGGCUGGAUCACCUCCUUUCUAAGGAA